Oryza meridionalis is the source of this 194-nucleotide non-coding RNA. Lineage: Eukaryota; Viridiplantae; Streptophyta; Magnoliopsida; Poales; Poaceae. The record is from Rfam.
UCUAAACAUAGCCACGAGUUUUCUUGUCCAAUUUUAAUCGUCUGUUUUAUUUAAAUCAUUUUUAUGAUUAAUGUUUUUAUUGUUAUUAGAUGAUAAAAUACGAAUAGUACUCUACGCGUGACUUACUUUUUUAAAAAAUAAUUAAUAAAAUGGAUGAUCAAGAUUUAAUACGAAAACUCAUAAUUACUCUUAUA